RNAcentral lists this ribosomal RNA (38 nucleotides) under Dasiphora fruticosa. RNAcentral describes it as "partial 26S ribosomal RNA". Lineage: Eukaryota; Viridiplantae; Streptophyta; Magnoliopsida; Rosales; Rosaceae. The record is from RNAcentral.
CGCGACCCCAGGUCAGGCGGGUCACCCGCUGAAUUUAA